ACCAGUGCAGCCCCACAGGGACCAGCACGGGGGUGGGGGAGGCUCCUGGGGCCGCCGAGGGUCUGGAGAAGCCCUCAGGCCCCAGGGCCCACCCAGGAGGCGUCGUGUCGCCCGCUCUCUGCUGACCUGGAAAGCGGGGCGCAGACCGGGACACAGACCUCGGCCCAGCCCAGUGUAGGCCUUGGCUGGCAGACUUGCCCCCCGCCCCAUGACAGGUGACAUCCGUUCAUUGUGGAAAACGCGACAAGCAGACAGCCUUCCCGGGAAAGUCAGGCCCCCGGGAUCUCACCACCCACCAGCAACCCGGCCACAUCUUGGGCGCAGCUGCUCCAGAACUGGGCAUGGUUGUGUGUUUUUAGAAACCGCACCCCGUGCCGGCCCCCCUGGUGACCUGCUUUUCUCGCUGAGUGCGUUGGGAGUAGCUGCCUGUACCCCCACGUUCCCGGGGGGAGUUUGCCAAGAGCUGAGCCGCCAGAGGGGGCCCGGCUGACCUAGAAUGUCAGAGGCUGUGGCUGUCCUGCUGCUGCGUGAAGAGCUGUGGGGAGUGUGUGCUCUGUCCCCAACGGUGAGGGAGCAGAGGUUGGGGGGAGCCCACAGGGAUGCUGUGACCUGGAUCUGGGGCUAAGCUGAGUUUUGGGUGACGUCGUAAGGGUACCUGGUGACCAUGGGAGACGGAGAGACUGCUCAGGGAGGGCUUCCUGGAGGAGGUGGACCGCGGAACGUUACGGCGGGAAGUAGCGCCCAGCGAUCUGUUCGCUCAUCUGACGUGGCUGCUGGGGGCCUCCGGGUCAGCGCUGCGUGGACAGGCUGCCAGGCCUGGGAGAGACGGGUCCGCGCCCAGGAUGUGGGUGUCUGUUCCGCACUGCAGUGGUGGAAGUGUGGACGGUGGGGGUCCAGGGACCCAGGGCGGGCUUAGCAUCCGGCCCAAAGGCACCAGACCGUCCCCCAGAGUUUGACCCAGUCCAGGUCCCUUGGCCUUCCAGGAGCUCCUGGAUGACCCUUCCAGCGUCCCAUACCAACAUGGGCCCCAGCUGUCACCCAGAAGUCACGCAGCUUCUCAGGGACAGGGCUGGAACCCAGCUGAGCAGGGGAUGUCGCUUACCUGGCCAGGCCUGGCUUUCCUCCGCUGUCAGUGGUGGCACAGCCUGCCGCGCCCACCCAAGCCAAGCCGACAGAGGCUCCCGCGAGGGUCCCCACCCCCCAGCCAAAGGGGUUGGGGUGCCUUCAUGCAGGGCCAGCCCGGCACCAAGGCAGAGCUGCAGCUGGACGGUGCUGGGAGUGUGGCAGGGAACCCGGCAGAGGCCCCCUCCCCGCAGCCCCCAGAGCUCCUCGAGGCUGAAGCCAUGUGUUUGGGAGUCGAAUAGACGCGGGUGUGAGUCACAGCCCCUCCGUGUCCUGGCUGUGUGACCUUGGGCUGGUUCCUGGCCCUCUCUGUGCUUGGCGUCCUCGUCUCUACUUUGAGGAUAAUAGCGGCUCUGGUUCUGCCCUGAGGGCUGGGAGAGGCGACCCACGCGUGAGUGCCUGGCGCGCCGGGAGCAGACGAAAGCUGCUGCUGUCGUCUUGGUGCCCAGGGGACCCAGGGCGGAGUCCUCGUCGUCACUUAGGUCCCUGGCUUGUGUUCAGCUGCCAGCUUCAGCCUCUGGAACCGCUUGGCCCUGGUCGCUCACCGGCCACACCACUGGCGUUCUCGGAGCACCUCCCACGCGACAGGUGCUGGGGGCUCCCCGGGAGGCAGAUGCUACGGAUCCUCGUGGGCGGACUGAUGGUACAGUAGGCGGGGUGGGGGGGACCCAGUCCAAGAGGAGGUGACCUUGCGCAUUUUCCUGGUGACCCCAAGGAGGCACCACCCUAAAAUCGUGCAAGAGGGAGCACCAGAGACCUGGUGGGUGCAGGUAGCUCCCAUGCUCUAGGACUGCUGGGCGUGAGGUUUGGGAGCUGGGAAGGUGGGCGGAGGGCACUCUUGAGUGGCAGGCUGGGGAGACAGGCCAGGAGGGGUCCUAGCAGGGGACAGAGUAGGGAACGACGGAGGGGCAGGAGGGGCGGAGUGGCCUCUGGGAGGAGGGCUGGCCGUGCAGAGUGAGGGCAGGGAGCCCCAUGGCGGCCGGGGGCCCGCAGGCUGAAUCAGGACUUUCUGAGCGUGAGGGCAGCCUGGGACCUGGAAGCAGCCUCAGCCUGGCCAUUCAGCAGGCGGGUGCCCACCAGACAGAGGGACCCUGCACUCUCAGAGCUCACCGUCCAUGGGGCAGACAGAAGUGAGUCAACAAAUACACCAGGGAGAUGAUUUCAGAGGGUGAUGAAAGUGAGGCCAGCAAUCAGCGAGGGCCUCCUGGAGGUGGUGGCUUUUGGCAAUGAGAAGACCCAGGAGGAUGGUGAUCCAGGGAGAGGGAUUGGCAUGUGCAAAGGCCUGGGGGUCAGGGCGCCGCGGUGGCUGGAGACCGUGAGGGAGAGGGUGGUGCCCCAUGUAGGGCAGUGUGGGCUGAACUCAGGUGCCAGGCUGAUCCACGGGCACGGUCUUCCCUCUGCCAGCGAGGCCCCACCCGGGCAGGUGAGCAUGCCCCCAGCACUAGCUUCCCUGAGUGACCUUGAGCAACUCGCCCACCCUCUCCGAACUUCUGGGCAUUCCUGUGUAACACACACGGGACAAGAUGCCUGCUCGGAGCCCUCCCAGCUGUGGACACUGCUGUGACCUUUCUUCCCCCUGACCCCUGCUCUGGAUGGGGGCUCGGAAGGGGCAGGUGGGACAACUCAGUGGAACUAAAGAGCCCCUGGGCACAGGGUGGCUGAUUCGCUCCUUGAUGCCCCAGACUCCUGCCCCCCUUUGGCUCUGGAGCUGAGGGACUGGAGCUGAGGCCCCCUGCCCCGCCCCCCAUGGUGGGCCGCUCCGCAACCCCGCUGCUCCAGGAGGGUCCCUGCCACGCUGGGAGUUCGUAGCCAGGAACCUGAGGCCGUGCUGAGCUGAGUCAUCUCACACGUGGUCUCAGACGGAGGCCUUUCUGGAAAGAAGUUCUCCCCCGGGACUCCACGCCCUAUCAUCCAAGUGGGCUAACCGGCAGCACUGUGGCCCCCGAGCGCCUCCAGGUCCUUCCUUGCACCCCCCACUCCCCAGCCAGCCAGGCCCGCUGGGGGCGAGGCAGCCCUUAGCAGCAGGGGGAGGGAGGCGGGUUUAAGACGAGCCGUGUGCUGAGCAUGCUGACCAGCCGGCAGGUCUGGGAGAGUCCUGCGCUCGGCCGGGGGGGGGGGGCGCCGCAGCCUCUGGGGGCCAGGAUACGGAGGCACCCGAGGUCCCGGCAUGCCUGGGGCAGAGACUCGUGGCCAGAGUGUUUUCUAUGUCACAGAGCCAGAGAGCUCGCAGGGACUGGCCACGGAGGGCCCGGAAAGCCUGGUGUGGGAGUCAGCACGGGCAGGGUUGCCGCGUGACGAGCAUCCCCCGAAGAUCAUCCCAUUUAGGGGCUCACCCCUGCCUGGCACCGUGAGUGUGUCCGGAGGCCUUGUGUGGGGGGCCGAGUCGGUUCUGCUUUCUGGUCACUGAUCACGAGCAGAGACGGGCACGGAUUGCAAGCGAAGGAUAAAACCAGUCGCUCGCACAGCUGGAGAAAGCCUCCCCCACCCCGUGUCCCACGUCCCCGUGUCCUGGGUCGCCGUCCCCCGGGAUCCGCGUAGCAACGUGUGACCUCCUUCCGAGCAGCCUCGGGGGUCCAGCUCUGAGACUCGCCAGGGGCACGCGGCCAGCGUGGUGCCUUCCUUGCUGCGGGCCGGUCCUCUCAGAACCCCGGGCAGCUCGCGGUCCUGUGACUGAGCCCGGCGGGUCAGGUGCACGGGCCGUGGUGCCGGGCGGGGCACGGGCGUGUCUGUGUGUCUAGAGGUGGAAUCACCGUGUUCUCAGGGUGUUUAAGAAGGACCCCUGGACACGGGAUGGGGGGACCCAGGCAGUGGUUGGAGCCAGGCGAGGCAGGGCUCUGGGCCCCCUCAGCCUGGGAUCGAGAAACACCCCCUGCCGUCUGGCCUCCCUUGGGACCUGGAGUUCGAAGGUCACGUAGAGUCAGUCCUGAAGCAGGGCCCAGAGCCGCGGGGCACGUGUUCCGUGGGUGACCGUGACAGGGUGUGCUCGUGCGCAGGCAGGGGCGGCCGUGUGGCCUGAGGCCCAGGUCACAUGUGCCAGGCGCACAUGCGGGGAGCACCCCGAGCCCGGCUGACACCUGGGUAGACCGAGGCCCCACGGGGGUCGGCAUGGGGGCUUCUGGGGCAGCUGGGACCGUCUGAGCCCCACCCUGCUCCCCGACCUGGGGGUGUGGGCGAGGGUCCAGGCUCACGGGGUCCCCUCUCGGGUGGCAUCUCUUUCUUUGUUUUUUUGUUUUU
Molecule: long non-coding RNA, 4356 nt
Filed under: Sus scrofa (pig)
Lineage: Eukaryota; Metazoa; Chordata; Mammalia; Artiodactyla; Suidae
Description: lncRNA (ENSSSCG00000060027.1)
Source: RNAcentral